UACGGAGGAUGCAAGCGUUAUCCGGAUUUAUUGGGUUUAAAGGGUGCGUAGGCGGCUUGGUAAGUCAGCGGUGAAAUUUAGGGGCUCAACCUCUACCGUGCCGUUGAUACUGCUGGGCUAGAAUGCGGAUGCCGUGGGAGGAAUGUGUGGUGUAGCGGUGAAAUGCAUAGAUAUCACACAGAACACCGAUUGCGAAGGCAUCUCACGAAUCCGCAAUUGACGCUGAGGCACGAAAGCGUGGGGAUCAAACAGG
Molecule: ribosomal RNA, 253 nt
Filed under: uncultured Bacteroidales bacterium
Lineage: Bacteria; Pseudomonadati; Bacteroidota; Bacteroidia; Bacteroidales
Description: partial 16S ribosomal RNA
Rfam family: Bacterial small subunit ribosomal RNA
Source: RNAcentral